RNAcentral lists this long non-coding RNA (410 nucleotides) under Solanum tuberosum (potato). Its description in RNAcentral is "long non-coding RNA (STUB_LNC008086)". Lineage: Eukaryota; Viridiplantae; Streptophyta; Magnoliopsida; Solanales; Solanaceae. The record is from RNAcentral.
AUUAAUUUUUUUAUCCGAUCUAUUCCGAUGGCCGGAGUUGCCCUUCUUCAACCACAAGAUGUUCUCAAACAUCAUGUAAGCUAUCGUCAACCUAUGAGAUCUCGACGGAAUUCCACUUCUAACCCUCUACCAAAUCCUAACCCUAACCCUAAGAAUAACCGAAGAAAGCGAAGUCCACAAAAAAAUGGAUCUGCUAACUUUUCAACUUGUCCUCCUAGUGCUAAAAAUCUCCAUCUGGUGAUGGGAGAGGUGAAAAUUCUGAAGCGUGGUCAAGUGUUGAAGGAAAACAAGCUUGUCACUGGUGAAGAUCUGGUGUUGUCCACUUCAGAUCGGCUGGGUCCAGAGCCGGAUAUGGUGCCUAAGAACAUAACGAUUGCUCAUUUCUAUGCUGGAUCGGGUUUCUCCUCCUC